UACGGAGGAUCCAAGCGUUAUCCGGAAUCAUUGGGGUUAUAGGGUCCGUAGGUGGGCCGUUAAGUCAGAGGUGAAAUCCUGCAGCUCAACUGUAGAAUUGCCUUUGAUACUGGCGGCCUUGAAUUACUGUGAAGUGGUUAGAAUAUGUGGUGUAGCGGUGAAAUGCAUAGAUAUCACAUAGAAUGCCGAUUGCGAAGGCAUAUCACUAACAGUACAUUGACACUGAUGGACGAAAGCGUGGGGAGCGAACAGG
This 253-nucleotide ribosomal RNA is filed under the name uncultured bacterium. RNAcentral describes it as "partial 16S ribosomal RNA". It matches the Rfam family "Bacterial small subunit ribosomal RNA", at positions 524 to 776 of the family's 1533-position model. The record is from RNAcentral.